GACGUAGGGGGCGAGCGUUGUCCGGAUUUAUUGGGCGUAAAGAGCUCGUAGGCGGCUCAGAAAGUCGGGUGUGAAACCUCCAGGCUCAACCUGGAGACGCCACCUGAUACUGCUGUGGCUAGAGUCCGGUAGGGGAACACGGAAUACCCGGUGUAGCGGUGAAAUGCUUAGAUAUCGGGUGGAACACCAGUGGCGAAGGCGGUGUUCUGGGCCGGAACUGACGCUGAGGAGCGAAAGCGUGGGUAGCAAACAGG
RNAcentral lists this ribosomal RNA (254 nucleotides) under uncultured bacterium. RNAcentral's name for it is "partial 16S ribosomal RNA". It matches the Rfam family "Bacterial small subunit ribosomal RNA", at positions 524 to 776 of the family's 1533-position model. The record is from RNAcentral.